Molecule: ribosomal RNA, 280 nt
Filed under: uncultured bacterium
Lineage: Bacteria
Description: partial 16S ribosomal RNA
Rfam family: Bacterial small subunit ribosomal RNA
Source: RNAcentral
CCUACGGGGGGCAGCAGUGGGGAAUAUUGGACAAUGGGCGAAAGCCUGAUCCAGCCAUGCCGCGUGUGUGAAGAAGGUCUUCGGAUUGUAAAGCACUUUAAGUUGGGAGGAAGGGUUGUAGAUUAAUACUCUGCAAUUUUGACGUUACCAAAAGAAUAAGCACCGGCUAACUUCGUGCCAGCAGCCGCGGUAAUACGAAGGGUGCAAGCGUUAAUCGGAAUUACUGGGCGUAAAGCGCGCGUAGGUGGUUCGUUAAGUUGGAUGUGAAAGCCCCGGGCUC